UCAACCAUCAAGCCUGGCUUGUCGUUGGACUCGUGGUCGUCAUGACCGGUCCGAAAGAUAAUGGACGGCGGUGAUUAGCCCCCGAUGCAACGAGCUUUUGAUAGCACGCAUUGCAGGGUUGGUCACCCCCGGCCUCACACUCCAUUUUCUCAGG
This 154-nucleotide unclassified non-coding RNA is filed under the name uncultured Herpotrichiellaceae. RNAcentral describes it as "sequence contains ITS2". The record is from RNAcentral. Lineage: Eukaryota; Fungi; Ascomycota; Eurotiomycetes; Chaetothyriales; Herpotrichiellaceae.